CGGGCGUGUGCUUACCAUGCAGUCGAACGGAGAAUUUAUUUCGGUGAAUUCUUAGUGGCGAACGGGUGAGUAACGCGUAGGCAACCUGCCCUUUGGAUGGGGACAACAUUCCGAAAGGAGUGCUAAUACCGAAUGUGAUCCAUUUCUCGCAUGAGAGAUGGAUGAAAGAUGGCCUCUAUUUAUAAGCUAUCGCCAAAGGAUGGGCCUGCGUCUGAUUAGUUAGUUGGUGGGGUAACGGCUCACCAAGACGAUGAUCAGUAGCCGGUCUGAGAGGAUGAACGGCCACAUUGGGACUGAGACACGGCCCAAACUCCUACGGGAGGCAGCAGUGGGGAAUCUUCCGCAAUGGACGAAAGUCUGACGGAGCAACGCCGCGUGAGUGAUGAAGGUUUUCGGACUGUAAAACUCUGUUGUCAGGGACGAAGGUGCGAUCUGCGAAUAGUUGAUCGUAUUGACGGUACCUGACGAGGAAGCCACGGCUAACUACGUGCCAGCAGCCGCGGUAAUACGUAGGUGGCAAGCGUUGUCCGGAAUUAUUGGGCGUAAAGAGCAUGUAGGUGGGCUUUUAAGUCCGAUGUGAAAAUGCGGGGCUCAACCCCGUAUGGCAUUGGAUACUGGAAGUCUUGAGUGCAGGAGAGGAAAGGGGAAUUCCCAGUGUAGCGGUGAAAUGCGUAGAUAUUGGGAGGAACACCAGUGGCGAAGGCGCCUUUCUGGACUGUGUCUGACACUGAGAUGCGAAAGCUAGGGUAGCAAACGGGAUUAGAUACCCCGGUAGUCCUAGCCGUAAACGAUGGGUACUACGUGUAGGGGGUAUCGACCC
Molecule: ribosomal RNA, 820 nt
Filed under: uncultured Acidaminococcus sp.
Lineage: Bacteria; Bacillati; Bacillota; Negativicutes; Acidaminococcales; Acidaminococcaceae
Description: bacterial SSU rRNA
Rfam family: Bacterial small subunit ribosomal RNA
Source: RNAcentral